GACGAACGCUGGCGGCGUGCUUAACACAUGCGAGUCGAACGGAAAGGCCCUGCUUUUGUGGGGUGCUCGAGUGGCGAACGGGUGAGUAACACGUGAGUAACCUGCCCUUGACUUUGGGAUAACUUCAGGAAACUGGGGCUAAUACCGGAUAGGAGCUCCUGCUGCAUGGUGGGGGUUGGAAAGUUUCGGCGGUUGGGGAUAGACUCGCGGCUUAUCAGCUUGUUGGUGGGGUAGUGGCUUACCAAGGCUUUGACGGGUAGCCGGCCUGAGAGGGUGACCGGCCACAUUGGGACUGAGUUACGGCCCAGACUCCUACGGGAGGCAGCAGUGGGGAAUAUUGCACAAUGGGCGGAAGCCUGAUGCAGCAACGCCGCGUGCGGGAUGACGGCCUUCGGGUUGUAAACCGCUUUCGCCUGUGACGAAGCGUGAGUGACGGUAAUGGGUAAAGAAGCACCGGCUAACUACGUG
This 468-nucleotide ribosomal RNA is filed under the name uncultured bacterium. RNAcentral describes it as "partial 16S ribosomal RNA". It matches the Rfam family "Bacterial small subunit ribosomal RNA", at positions 28 to 507 of the family's 1533-position model. The record is from RNAcentral.